RNAcentral lists this ribosomal RNA (959 nucleotides) under uncultured Bacillota bacterium. RNAcentral's name for it is "bacterial SSU rRNA". It matches the Rfam family "Bacterial small subunit ribosomal RNA", at positions 1 to 917 of the family's 1533-position model. Lineage: Bacteria; Bacillati; Bacillota. The record is from RNAcentral.
UGGAUCCAGACUUGAUUCUGGCUCAGGACGAACGCUGGAGGCAUGCCUAAGACAUGCAAGUCGAACGAGAAGGCCCAUUGAUUAAGAUUGAAAGUUUGCGUGCUUGCACAAAGACCGGAUUUCUUAUGAUUUGGAUUUUCCUUCUAGUGGCAAACGGGUGAGUAACACGUGGGUUACCUACCUCUAAGUUGGGGAUAACAGUUGGAAACGAUUGCUAAUACCGAAUGUGCUCUACGGAGUAAAGAAGCCCUUAAAGCUUCGCUUAGAGAUGGGCCUGCGGCGUAUUAGCUAGUUGGUGGGGUAACGGCCUACCAAGGCGACGAUGCGUAGCCGAACUGAGAGGUUGAUCGGCCACACUGGGACUGAGACACGGCCCAGACUCCUACGGGAGACAGCAGUUAGGAAUAUUCGUCAAUGGGGGAAACCCUGAACGAGCAAUGCCGCGUGAGUGAUGACGGCCCUAUGGGUUGUAAAACUCUGUUGUUUGGAAAGAAUUGUAAGGAUAGGAAAUGAUCUUUACUUGACGGUACCAUUCAAGAAAGCCACGGCUAACUACGUGCCAGCAGCCGCGGUAAUACGUAGGUGGCGAGCGUUAUCCGGAUUUAUUGGGCGUAAAGGGUGCGCAGGCGGUCUAUUAAGUCUAAGAUGAAAGCCCGAAGCUUAACUUCGGUUUGUUUUAGAAACUGGUAGACUUGAGUAUGGUAGAGGCAAACGGAAUUCCUAGUGUAGCGGUGGAAUGCGUAGAUAUUAGGAGGAACACCAGUGGCGAAGGCGGUUUGCUGGGCCAUUACUGACGCUCAUGCACGAAAGCGUGGGGAGCAAAUAGGAUUAGAUACCCUAGUAGUCCACGCCGUAAACGAUGAGUACUAAGUGUCGGGUUACCGGUGCUGAAGUUAACACAUUAAGUACUCCGCCUGAGUAGUACGGUCGCAAGGCUGCAACUCAAAUGAAUUGACGGA